GCAAACUACUACUGAGUUAAGCCAUAUUUAUCAUAAGCUCUUAAUUAAGUUGUUUAUCCAAAAAAUAGAGGUAGAGUGGUACCUUAGAAAUGGCGUGGCGUAAAUCAUCAUGGUUAAUGGGUCGUUGAGAAAUGACCCAAUCACCAGAAGGGAAUCUAGCAAGAGGCUUUCUACCUAAAUCCAUAACAACUUCAAUGAGUCCACCAAUCUCUUGGUGACGAUACAAUUCCAUCCUCAUCUCCAAAGGAAGAAGUUCCAGAAACAUAUCAAGCUCUGCGGUGGUUUCGGGUUGCAAAUUCGACGGUGAGGAUCCAUUUCUGAUUGGGUAACGAUCGGAGGGUCGUCGGAUUUGAGGAGAAGCUGAAGAAGAUGAUUUGGAAGAUUGAAUCGCUUUAUUGAGUCUUCUUGAUGAAGAUGAUGAACGAUGAAAUGAAGAAAACAGUUGUUUAUUGUUAAGGUUGUUGUUCCUUUGCCAUGAGGUGCAGUGAAGAUCAAUUAAGACAACAUGCGAAUUUAUUGCUCUCAUUCUCUAUCUCCUCUUCCUAUGUGUUAACGUUUUGUUAUGUUUCUCUGUAUGUUUGAUCUAGUUAUAGUAAUAUAAAAAAAAAAAUAUAUAUAUAUAUAUAUAAUAAAUGAUAAAUGAUG
This 645-nucleotide long non-coding RNA is filed under the name Medicago truncatula (barrel medic). Its description in RNAcentral is "lncRNA gene6638". The record is from RNAcentral. Lineage: Eukaryota; Viridiplantae; Streptophyta; Magnoliopsida; Fabales; Fabaceae.